CUCCUCUUUCUCUUCUUCUCAUUCCUUCUCACCUAUUUUUUCUCCUUCAUGGCAGCUCCCUCACCUCCAUCUAUUCCUCCACGUUCUUCCUUUUUUCUUUAUCCAUUUCUCCUCAUCCUCCUCAUUCAAGUCGCUCAUAAGCCAUCCUCCUCUACGACCGCCCCUACCAUCUCCAUCCCUUCUCGUCGGCAACUCAUCCUUCCCUUCUUCUUUCUUCCCAUCCUCUUUUCCUUCUUGUCCUCCUCUUCCUCCAAUCCAUUUCUUGUGAGUUGCCCUUCUUUCCUCCUCUCCUUCCUCCUUAUCCAUUUCUCAUUCUCAUUCUCUUCCUUCUCCAAACCCACCUAUGAGCGAGGAAUACUUCCAUUCAUUAAGAGAAAAAGCUAAGACCAUUUGUUGAUAAAAUGAACCAUUAUACUAUAUUGAAAUAUA
RNAcentral lists this long non-coding RNA (429 nucleotides) under Elaeis guineensis (African oil palm). RNAcentral describes it as "long non-coding RNA (EGUI_LNC031243)". Lineage: Eukaryota; Viridiplantae; Streptophyta; Magnoliopsida; Arecales; Arecaceae. The record is from RNAcentral.